GCGGCAACACUUGCAACAUUGAAUUCGUAAUUGUAAUCGAAUCCAAUGAAGUGAGUGUUGCCAAGAGUAAUCCUUUUCGGAUAAGACCUUCAGACAUAGUUGAGGCGACAUACCCACGCCACGAUUGUAUCACUCAAAGUCUUACAAUU
RNAcentral lists this small nucleolar RNA (149 nucleotides) under Drosophila yakuba. Its description in RNAcentral is "snoRNA:GE27036". The record is from RNAcentral. Lineage: Eukaryota; Metazoa; Arthropoda; Insecta; Diptera; Drosophilidae.